CCUACGGGAGGCAGCAGUGAGGAAUAUUGGUCAAUGGGCGGGAGCCUGAACCAGCCAAGUCGCGUGAGGGAAGACGGUCCUAUGGAUUGUAAACCUCUUUAGGCGGGGAGCAAUGCCGGGCACGCGUGCCCGGAGGGAGAGUACCCGCAGCAUAAGCAUCGGCUAACUCCGUGCCAGCAGCCGCGGUAAUACGGAGGAUGCGAGCGUUAUCCGGAUUUAGUGGGUUUAAAGGGUGCGUAGGCGGAUUUUUAAGUCAGCGGUAAAAUGUCCGGGCUCAACCCGGGCCGGCCGUUGAUACUGGGGAUCUUGAGUGGGCGAGAGGUAUGCGGAAUGCGUGGUGUAGCGGUGAAAUGCAUAGAUAUCACGCAGAACUCCGAUUGCGAAGGCAGCAUACCGGCGCCCGACUGACGCUGAGGCACGAAAGCGUGGGGAUCGAACAGGAUUAGAUACCCCUGUAGUC
This 460-nucleotide ribosomal RNA is filed under the name uncultured bacterium. Its description in RNAcentral is "partial 16S ribosomal RNA". It matches the Rfam family "Bacterial small subunit ribosomal RNA", at positions 338 to 795 of the family's 1533-position model. The record is from RNAcentral.